UUAUCCUUCACAGCAUAUCUCAAGAGAGAGAAAAAAGAGAAAGAUAUACCUGAAGACACAUACCCAGAUUGACAUAUAUUUUGGCAACUCUUCCAUACCUGGAUGGGAACUGAAUAUGCAUGGACUUGCUGGGGGGCCAUCAGUUGGAUUUCAAACAAAUAGGACCUAUGAAUAUUGUCCCCACAUGUUUCGAUGUGGAUGCAAGUUGGCUAGACCCACAACAACUGCAAACAUUUUCCCCACAUGCAAGAUAUUUUCUGAAAAAAUGGCUAGAGAGAGGAAGGAGAAAACGAGACAAACACUAUAUUGUAAGGAUCUCUGAGAACUCUUUCCAACUCAAGCUGAGAAGAAUUUCUGGUUGGAGCUGGCCUUCUCACAGAAGCAGCGGCAGCUGUCUGUUGUCUGCAUUGUUGAAAAUCAAUGUCCUAAUUAAAAGGUAAGAGAUUUUUAUUCCCCUCACAGCAAUAAGGAAGAAGGUACUCCUGACCUGUACCAGGAACCAGGAGAGCAGUACUGAGCUGACCACAUUUGUAUGACCUUCCUUUGGCCGGUGGUCUAACAAAGCCAUUGGCAGGGAAAUCCAGCUACUUAAGCCUCUUCCAGCUGUGCAACAUCCACAGGUGCAAAGA
This 629-nucleotide long non-coding RNA is filed under the name Pogona vitticeps (central bearded dragon). RNAcentral describes it as "lncRNA (ENSPVIG00000015172.1)". The record is from RNAcentral. Lineage: Eukaryota; Metazoa; Chordata; Lepidosauria; Squamata; Agamidae.